Molecule: ribosomal RNA, 350 nt
Filed under: uncultured Planctomycetota bacterium
Lineage: Bacteria; Pseudomonadati; Planctomycetota
Description: bacterial SSU rRNA
Rfam family: Bacterial small subunit ribosomal RNA
Source: RNAcentral
GGAUUAGGCAUGCAAGUCGAACGAGGAUAUAUCCUUCGGGAUAUAAGCCGAGUGGCGCAAGGGUGAGUAAUGCAUAGAUUACCUGCCUUUAGGAUAAGGACAACUUUGUGAAAACGGAGCUAAUACUUAAUAAUACAAAAAAAAAUAAUUUUCUUUUGUCAAAUGGAGGGUAGCAAUAUCUUUCGCCUAAAGAGGGGUUUAUGUCCUAUCAGCUUGUUGGUGGGGUAAUGGCCUACCAAGGCAAAGACGGGUAGCCGGCCUUAGAGGGUGGUCGGCCACACUGGGACUGAGACACUGCCCAGACUUCUACGGAAGGCUGCAGUCGAGAAUCUUUCGCAAUGCCCGAAAGG